This 527-nucleotide ribosomal RNA is filed under the name uncultured bacterium. Its description in RNAcentral is "bacterial SSU rRNA". It matches the Rfam family "Bacterial small subunit ribosomal RNA", at positions 777 to 1302 of the family's 1533-position model. The record is from RNAcentral.
AAUAGAUACCCGGGUAGUCCUGGCAGUAAACGGUGCACGUUUGGUGUGGGCAGGUUCAGACCCUGUCCGUGCCGGAGCUAACGCGUUAAACGUGCCGCCUGGGAAGUACGGUCGCAAGAUUAAAACUCAAAGAAAUUGACGGGGGGCCCGCACAAGCGGUGGAGUAUGUGGCUUAAUUCGAUGCAACGCGAAGAACCUUACCUGGCCUUGACAUGCAUCUCUAAGUUAGUGAAAGCUAGCGAGUUGGCAGCAAUGUCAACAAUUUGCACAGGUGCUGCAUGGCUGUCGUCAGCUCGUGUCGUGAGAUGUUGGGUUAAGUCCCGCAACGAGCGCAGCCCCUGUGUCCAGUUGCCCGCAAGGGAUCUCUGGACAGACUGCCCUGUGAAACGGGGAGGAAGGUGGGAUGACGUCAAGUCAGUAUGGCCCUUACGGCCAGGGCUGCACACGUACUACGAAUGCCCAGAACAGAAUGAACCGAGACCGCGAGGUGGAGGAAAUCGAUAAAUCUGGGCCCAGUUCGGAUUGGG